UGUUUCAAUGUGAAAGUCUUUUCAUGAAAACAAGAAUAUAUAGGAUUUAAUAAUUUGAGAUGAGUUUGCACAGCUUUUAAAGAUACUUAACAGUUAAUGGAAUGAAAGAGACGUGACCUGUACCACAUACAGACAUUGUGUGGAAUAAAAUGUCUAAUCCAGGCAAUUACGAAUUAAUAUGAUGUAGGGGUUGGAAUGUGAAUGUGUCCUCUGCAUGGGUACAAAACCUAUGGUGAUUUAGAAACGACUUAUCAAGGCAAAAGGGGGGGGUAUAACUCAUUUUUGGAGUUAUUAACGAGGCAUUAAUUGACCUAAGAAAUUAAUCCUAUUGAGCAGUAAAGAAAAUGGCAUAGCCUGUAAGAACAUAUAUGGUUUAAGGGUUGGACAAUCAUUAAACCAUGACAGUUAAAGGUCAAUUAAUUGGACCUUGAGAUCAACGGUAAAUGUCAUAAUGAUAUUAGACUGUUAUGAUAUCUGAGUCAUAUACACUGUAUGCCAAAUAUCACAAGUCAAUGUAUAAAAACUAAGUAAGUGUAGACCCGGACAAGUGUGUAUGAGAAUAAAAUUCCAAAAAAGAAGAAGAAUAGUUAUGUUUAACAUAAUGUAUCCAUUCAUUUCAUCUUGGAAGCCAGGG
Molecule: long non-coding RNA, 634 nt
Filed under: Mytilus galloprovincialis (Mediterranean mussel)
Lineage: Eukaryota; Metazoa; Mollusca; Bivalvia; Mytilida; Mytilidae
Source: RNAcentral